Molecule: unclassified non-coding RNA, 253 nt
Filed under: Glomus sp.
Lineage: Eukaryota; Fungi; Glomeromycota; Glomeromycetes; Glomerales; Glomeraceae
Description: partial contains 5.8S ribosomal RNA and internal transcribed spacer 2
Rfam family: 5.8S ribosomal RNA (bases 1-72)
Source: RNAcentral
GUGAAUCAUCAAAUCUUUGAACACAAAUUGCACUCUCCGGUUUUCCGGGAGAGUAUGCCUGUUUGAGGGUCAGCCUAAAAAAAAAAUCGACGUAUUUGCUGUUUUGCGGUGACAUUCGUCGGAAAUUUGGUCAUCUUAAACCUUUGGGUUUUUUUAUUUGCUUAUAAUUUUCUUUACUAUUCCACUAACGUUUCUUAGAUUUUACUUCUUACACACUUUUAAGUUAUCGAUCUUUAUUACACGUGGCCGUUGC